GAUGAACGCCGGCGGCGUGCCUAAUACAUGCAAGUCGAGCGAACGGACGAGAAGCUUGCUUCUCUGAUGUUAGCGGCGGACGGGUGAGUAACACGUGGAUAACCUACCUAUAAGACUGGGAUAACUUCGGGAAACCGGAGCUAAUACCGGAUGAUAUUUUGAACCGCAUGGUUCAAAAGUGAAAGACGGUCUUGCUGUCACUUAUAGAUGGAUCCGCGCUGCAUUAGCUAGUUGGUAAGGUAACGGCUUACCAAGGCAACGAUGCAUAGCCGACCUGAGAGGGUGAUCGGCCACACUGGAACUGAGACACGGUCCAGACUCCUACGGGAGGCAGCAGUAGGGAAUCUUCCGCAAUGGGCGAAAGCCUGACGGAGCAACGCCGCGUGAGUGAUGAAGGUCUUCGGAUCGUAAAACUCUGUUAUUAGGGAAGAACAUAUGUGUAAGUAACUGUGCACAUCUUGACGGUACCUAAUCAGAAAGCCACGGCUGACUACGUGCCAGCAGCCGCGGUAAUACGUAGGUGGCAAGCGUUAUCCGGAAUUAUUGGGCGUAAAGCGCGCGUAGGCGGUUUUUUAAGUCUGAUGUGAAAGCCCACGGCUCAACCGUGGAGGGUCAUUGGAAACUGGAAAACUUGAGUGCAGAAGAGGAAAGUGGAAUUCCAUGUGUAGCGGUGAAAUGCGCAGAGAUAUGGAGGAACACCAGUGGCGAAGGCGACUUUCUGGUCUGUAACUGACGCUGAUGUGCGAAAGCGUGGGGAUCAAACAGGAUUAGAUACCCUGGUAGUCCACGCCGUAAACGAUGAGUGCUAAGUGUUAGGGGGUUUCCGCCCCUUAGUGCUGCAGCUAACGCAUUAAGCACUCCGCCUGGGGAGUACGACCGCAAGGUUGAAACUCAAAGGAAUUGACGGGGACCCGCACAAGCGGUGGAGCAUGUGGUUUAAUUCGAAGCAACGCGAAGAACCUUACCAAAUCUUGACAUCCUUUGACAACUCUAGAGAUAGAGCCUUCCCCUUCGGGGGACAAAGUGACAGGUGGUGCAUGGUUGUCGUCAGCUCGUGUCGUGAGAUGUUGGGUUAAGUCCCGCAACGAGCGCAACCCUUAAGCUUAGUUGCCAUCAUUAAGUUGGGCACUCUAAGUUGACUGCCGGUGACAAACCGGAGGAAGGUGGGGAUGACGUCAAAUCAUCAUGCCCCUUAUGAUUUGGGCUACACACGUGCUACAAUGGACAAUACAAAGGGCAGCGAAACCGCGAGGUCAAGCAAAUCCCAUAAAGUUGUUCUCAGUUCGGAUUGUAGUCUGCAACUCGACUACAUGAAGCUGGAAUCGCUAGUAAUCGUAGAUCAGCAUGCUACGGUGAAUACGUUCCCGGGUCU
Molecule: ribosomal RNA, 1372 nt
Filed under: uncultured bacterium
Lineage: Bacteria
Description: bacterial SSU rRNA
Rfam family: Bacterial small subunit ribosomal RNA
Source: RNAcentral